UGCCGGUGAUAGCUUCCUCCUUAAGCAC
This 28-nucleotide small RNA is filed under the name Bombyx mori (domestic silkworm). Its description in RNAcentral is "ovarian small RNA-8563". The record is from RNAcentral. Lineage: Eukaryota; Metazoa; Arthropoda; Insecta; Lepidoptera; Bombycidae.